GGCAGUUCUUCGGUGACACACCCCAGAAUCGGGCUCUCUCCUCUCUGGUUCCAGGUGCUUCACCUGAGAACCACA
Non-coding RNA from Myotis davidii, 75 nucleotides. NCBI's taxonomy places the organism in Eukaryota, Metazoa, Chordata, Mammalia, Chiroptera, Vespertilionidae. The record is from Rfam.